GGCCUAACACAAUAUGCCUUAAAUUAUUAUUAUUAUUAUUGUUCCUCUUCUUUAAUUAUCUUCAUAUGCAAGCAGAGCUUAUGACAAGUCCUUGUGAUGUUAAAUACAGGCAAGGAAUGCUAACCGUGUGGUGAGCAAUGCCAAGACAUAACAGAAACAAUGCAAAGUCAAAGAAAGAUCAAAUACUUUUAAGUCUAAGCCUAGUGGUUGGUUCCAUGUGGUGAUGAUUAUUAUUAUUGGUUUCGGAGUAGAUUAAUAAGUGUGUUGAAGAGGCUAGCUGUCUCUCAUAUUGCACCACCAUUUUUACGACAUUGCCUCCAUAAGUUGCCGGCAACAAGGUCAAACAUGUCUUCUCUCCCAGUUGACGGCGUGUUUAUCUCGAAUAUCAAGGGAUUUUAAAUUACCAUCUAUAAAUUUAUUAUAAUGAUUUGUUAUUGAGAUAUGAGUAUCAAAUAUUUUGGCAAUUUGUUGGGGAAGAUGAGAGCAUGGCGCGGAAACGAGCA
Molecule: small RNA, 503 nt
Filed under: Histoplasma ohiense
Lineage: Eukaryota; Fungi; Ascomycota; Eurotiomycetes; Onygenales; Ajellomycetaceae
Description: hypothetical lncRNA
Source: RNAcentral